CUGGAGGUAUCAGAAGUGCGAAUGCUGACAUAAGUAACGAUAAAGCGGGUGAAAAGCCCGCUCGCCGGAAGACCAAGGGUUCCUGUCCAACGUUAAUCGGGGCAGGGUGAGUCGACCCCUAAGGCGAGGCCGAAAGGCGUAGUCGAUGGGAAACAGGUUAAUAUUCCUGUACUUGGUGUUACUGCGAAGGGGGGACGGAGAAGGCUAUGUUGGCCGGGCGACGGUUGUCCCGGUUUAAGCGUGUAGGCUGGUUUUCCAGGCAAAUCCGGAAAAUCAAGGCUGAGGCGUGAUGACGAGGCACUACGGUGCUGAAGCAACAAAUGCCCUGCUUCCAGGAAAAGCCUCUAAGCAUCAGGUAACAUCAAAUCGUACCCCAAACCGACACAGGUGGUCAGGUAGAGAAUACCAAGGCGCUUGAGAGAACUCGGGUGAAGGAACUAGGCAAAAUGGUGCCGUAACUUCGGGAGAAGGCACGCUGAUAUGUAGGUGAAGUCCCUCGCGGAUGGAGCUGAAAUCAGUCGAAGAUACCAGCUGGCUGCAACUGUUUAUUAAAAACACAGCACUGUGCAAACACGAAAGUGGACGUAUACGGUGUGACGCCUGCCCGGUGCCGGAAGGUUAAUUGAUGGGGUUAGCGCAAGCGAAGCUCUUGAUCGAAGCCCCGGUAAACGGCGGCCGUAACUAUAACGGUCCUAAGGUAGCGAAAUUCCUUGUCGGGUAAGUUCCGACCUGCACGAAUGGCGUAAUGAUGGCCAGGCUGUCUCCACCCGAGACUCAGUGAAAUUGAACUCGCUGUGAAGAUGCAGUGUACCCGCGGCAAGACGGAAAGACCCCGUGAACCUUUACUAUAGCUUGACACUGAACAUUGAGCCUUGAUGUGUAGGAUAGGUGGGAGGCUUUGAAGUGUGGACGCCAGUCUGCAUGGAGCCGACCUUGAAAUACCACCCUUUAAUGUUUGAUGUUCUAACGUUGACCCGUAAUCCGGGUUGCGGACAGUGUCUGGUGGGUAGUUUGACUGGGGCGGUCUCCUCCUAAAGAGUAACGGAGGAGCACGAAGGUUGGCUAAUCCUGGUCGGACAUCAGGAGGUUAGUGCAAUGGCAUAAGCCAGCUUGACUGCGAGCGUGACGGCGCGAGCAGGUGCGAAAGCAGGUCAUAGUGAUCCGGUGGUUCUGAAUGGAAGGGCCAUCGCUCAACGGAUAAAAGGUACUCCGGGGAUAACAGGCUGAUACCGCCCAAGAGUUCAUAUCGACGGCGGUGUUUGGCACCUCGAUGUCGGCUCAUCACAUCCUGGGGCUGAAGUAGGUCCCAAGGGUAUGGCUGUUCGCCAUUUAAAGUGGUACGCGAGCUGGGUUUAGAACGUCGUGAGACAGUUCGGUCCCUAUCUGCCGUGGGCGCUGGAGAACUGAGGGGGGCUGCUCCUAGUACGAGAGGACCGGAGUGGACGCAUCACUGGUGUUCGGGUUGUCAUGCCAAUGGCACUGCCCGGUAGCUAAAUGCGGAAGAGAUAAGUGCUGAAAGCAUCUAAGCACGAAACUUGCCCCGAGAUGAGUUCUCCCUGACUCCUUGAGAGUCCUGAAGGAACGUUGAAGACGACGACGUUGAUAGGCCGGGUGUGUAAGCGCAGCGAUGCGUUGAGCUAACCGGUACUAAUGAACCGUGAG
RNAcentral lists this ribosomal RNA (1662 nucleotides) under Escherichia coli. Its description in RNAcentral is "partial 23S ribosomal RNA". It matches the Rfam family "Bacterial large subunit ribosomal RNA", at positions 1273 to 2915 of the family's 2925-position model. The record is from RNAcentral. Lineage: Bacteria; Pseudomonadati; Pseudomonadota; Gammaproteobacteria; Enterobacterales; Enterobacteriaceae.